GACGAACGCUGGCGGCGUGCUUAACACAUGCAAGCCGAACGAGACGAUUGAAAGCUUGCUUUUAAAAGUCGAGUGGCAAACGGGUGAGUAACGCGUAGACAACCUGCCUUUGAGAUGGGGACAACAGUUCGAAAGGACUGCUAAUACCGAAUGUUGUAUAUUUUCCACAUGGAAGAUAUAUUAAAGAUGGCCUCUAUUUAUAAGCUAUCGCUCAAAGAUGGGUCUGCGUCUGAUUAGCUAGUUGGUGGGGUAACGGCCUACCAAGGCGACGAUCAGUAGACGGUCUGAGAGGAUGAACGGCCACAUUGGGACUGAGACACGGCCCAGACUCCUACGGGAGGCAGCAGAGGGGAAUCUUCCACAAUGGACGAAAGUCUGAUGGAGCAACGCCGCGUGAGUGAAGAAGGGUUUCGGCUCGUAAAGCUCUGUUGUCGGGGACGAAUGUGCAGUAUUUGAAUAAAGUACUGCAAUGACGGUACCUGACGAGGAAGCCACGGCUAACUACGUGCCAGCCGCCGCAGUAA
This 524-nucleotide ribosomal RNA is filed under the name uncultured bacterium. Its description in RNAcentral is "partial 16S ribosomal RNA". It matches the Rfam family "Bacterial small subunit ribosomal RNA", at positions 28 to 523 of the family's 1533-position model. The record is from RNAcentral.